AUUGAACGCUGGCGGCAGGCUUAACACAUGCAAGUCGAGCGGGGGAAGGUAGCUUGCUACUGGACCUAGCGGCGGACGGGUGAGUAAUGCUUAGGAAUCUGCCUAGUAGUGGGGGACAACAUCUCGAAAGGGAUGCUAAUACCGCAUACGUCCUACGGGAGAAAGCAGGGGAUCUUCGGACCUUGCGCUAAUAGAUGAGCCUAAGUCGGAUUAGCUAGUUGGUAGGGUAAAGGCCUACCAAGGCGACGAUCUGUAGCGGGUCUGAGAGGAUGAUCCGCCACACUGGGACUGAGACACGGCCCAGACUCCUACGGGAGGCAGCAGUGGGGAAUAUUGGACAAUGGGGGGAACCCUGAUCCAGCCAUGCCGCGUGUGUGAAGAAGGCCUUAUGGUUGUAAAGCACUUUAAGCGAGGAGGAGGCUACUCUAGUUAAUACCUAGGGAUAGUGGACGUUACUCGCAGAAUAAGCACCGGCUAACUCUGUGCCAGCCGCCGCCGUAA
This 501-nucleotide ribosomal RNA is filed under the name uncultured bacterium. RNAcentral's name for it is "partial 16S ribosomal RNA". It matches the Rfam family "Bacterial small subunit ribosomal RNA", at positions 30 to 523 of the family's 1533-position model. The record is from RNAcentral.